CCUACGGGUGGCAGCAGUGAGGAAUAUUGGUCAAUGGGCGCGAGCCUGAACCAGCCAAGUAGCGUGAAGGAUGACUGCCCUACGGGUUGUAAACUUCUUUUAUAAAGGAAUAAAGUGAGGCACGUGUGCCUUUUUGUAUGUACUUUAUGAAUAAGGAUCGGCUAACUCCGUGCCAGCAGCCGCGGUAAUACGGAGGAUCCGAGCGUUAUCCGGAUUUAUUGGGUUUAAAGGGAGCGUAGAUGGGUUGUUAAGUCAGUUGUGAAAGUUUGCGGCUCAACCGUAAAAUUGCAAUUGAUACUGGCAGUCUUGAGUACAGUUGAGGUAGGCGGAAUUCGUGGUGUAGCGGUGAAAUGCGUAGAUAUUAGGAGGAACACCAGUGGCGAAGGCGACUUUCUGGACGAUAACUGACGUUGAGGCACGAAAGUGUGGGGAGCAAACAGGAUUAGAUACCCCAGUAGUC
RNAcentral lists this ribosomal RNA (460 nucleotides) under uncultured bacterium. RNAcentral's name for it is "partial 16S ribosomal RNA". It matches the Rfam family "Bacterial small subunit ribosomal RNA", at positions 338 to 795 of the family's 1533-position model. The record is from RNAcentral.